This 332-nucleotide unclassified non-coding RNA is filed under the name soil metagenome. RNAcentral's name for it is "partial contains 5.8S ribosomal RNA, internal transcribed spacer 2, and large subunit ribosomal RNA". The stretch from base 1 to 120 matches the Rfam family "5.8S ribosomal RNA", at positions 35 to 154 of the family's 154-position model. The record is from RNAcentral.
GAUGAAGAACGCAGCAAAAUGCGAUAAGUAAUGUGAAUUGCAGAAUUCAGUGAAUCAUCGAAUCUUUGAACGCACAUUGCGCCCGCCAGUAUUCUGGCGGGCAUGCCUGUUCGAGCGUCAUUUCAACCCUCAAGCACAGCUUGGUGUUGGGACUCGCGUUAAUUCGCGUUCCUCAAAUUGAUAGGCGGUCACGUCGAGCUUCCAUAGCGUAGUAGUAAAACCCUCGUUACUGGUAAUCGUCGCGGCCACGCCGUUAAACCCCAACUUCUGAAUGUUGACCUCGGAUCAGGUAGGAAUACCCGCUGAACUUAAGCAUAUCAAUAAGCGGAGGA